This is a non-coding RNA of Dipodomys spectabilis (banner-tailed kangaroo rat), 713 nucleotides long. NCBI's taxonomy places the organism in Eukaryota, Metazoa, Chordata, Mammalia, Rodentia, Heteromyidae. The record is from the annotation of a RefSeq genome assembly.
ACCACAGCCCUGCUGAGCUUCUUGUGGGUACAAUCUCCUCCUGUCCUCCGGCUAUGGCCACCAGCCCCCUUUACCCUGUGAUUCUUUGUUUCUUGGGAGUAGAAUCUCUAAAUGCUGGGGUGGUGCAGACACCCAGGUAUGAGGUGAGAGGGAAGGGAAAGAACGUAGCUCUGAAGUGUGAGCCCAUGGCAGGCCACACUGCCCUUUCCUGGUACAGACAGACCGUGGCGCGGGGACUGGAAGCACUGAUCUCCUUCCAGAACCAGGCUCUGGUGGAUGAUGCAGGGAUGCCCAAAGAGCGAUUCUCCGCGGACAUGCCUACUGCGUCGCGCUCCAACUUGAAGAUCCAGCCCACACAACCCGGAGACUCAGCCAAGUACUUCUGCGCCAGCAGCUCUCUGGAUGAAACCAUUCAGACUCCCCGGCCCCUGGUCACAGAGAAAGGACAGAAAGUAAAGAUGUCUUAUGUCCCUAAAAAAGGACACAAGGGUGUGAUGUGGUAUCAACACAUCCUGGAAAAGAAGCUCAAGGUCUUGAUUUCCUUCCAGAAUGAAGAUGUCAUGGAUGAUCCAGGGAUGAUCCCAGGGAGAAAUUUUUCAGCUGAGUGCAUUAAAAACUCACACUGUAACCUGGAGGUCCUGGCUUCGGAGCUGCGGGAUUCUACCAUGUAUCUGUGUGCCAGCAGUCAUAUCACAGUGCUGAAUGUGAGCUGA